Molecule: long non-coding RNA, 516 nt
Filed under: Ictidomys tridecemlineatus (thirteen-lined ground squirrel)
Lineage: Eukaryota; Metazoa; Chordata; Mammalia; Rodentia; Sciuridae
Description: lncRNA (ENSSTOG00000032306.1)
Rfam family: tRNA (bases 82-153)
Source: RNAcentral
CUCUGCCCUUAGGGGCUUUCACUAGAAUGGGAUUAGACAGAACUGAUCAUAGAAAUGACUAUGAAUUGAUGACUGUGGGAUAGGGAUGUAGCUCAGUGGUAGAGCACUUGCCUCGCCUGCAUGAGGACCUGGUUUCCAUCCCCAGCACUGCAAAAAUAAACCAAUUUAAACAACAGUGACUGUAAUAAGGAGAGAAAGGGGUGCCCAGAAGGAAAGUGAUGAGCCAGGGAAGAGUGGCAGGAGAUCAGAAGACACCAGGCCACCCAGUGCCUGCUGGGCCAACGGGGAGCCUGGAAAAGAGCACUGUUCAGCAAGAGGAUUGAACAGAGAGAAAGAAUCUGGACUCAGAACUCACAGCAAGCUCUAAUGUCAACACAUCUACAAACAGACUGGGAGACUUGAAGUCACUGUUCCUAUUAAAAAAUGAUCAGCAGGUUGACUGUAGCCUUCCCUGCUCUGAUUCUAUAAAUAAGGAAUAAAAGUACUAUGUAAUGACCAUGCAACCAAUUUUAAAAG